RNAcentral lists this ribosomal RNA (465 nucleotides) under uncultured bacterium. RNAcentral's name for it is "partial 16S ribosomal RNA". It matches the Rfam family "Bacterial small subunit ribosomal RNA", at positions 338 to 795 of the family's 1533-position model. The record is from RNAcentral.
CCUACGGGUGGCUGCAGUGGGGAAUAUUGCGCAAUGGGCGAAAGCCUGACGCAGCGACGCCGCGUGAGGGAUGAAGGUCUUCGGAUCGUAAACCUCUGUCAGCAGGGAAGAACGGUCACUGUGCUAAUCAGCAGUGAAUUGACGGUACCUGCAAAGGAAGCACCGGCUAACUCCGUGCCAGCAGCCGCGGUAAUACAGAGGGUGCGAGCGUUAAUCGGAAUUACUGGGCGUAAAGCGCUCGUAGGCGGUAUGUCAAGUCAAGGGUGAAAUCCCCGCGCUCAACGGGGGAACUGCCUUUGAAACUGGGAGGCGGGAGUGUGGAGGAGGUAGGUGGAAUUCGAGGUGUAGGGGUGAAAUGCUUAGAUAUCAGGAAGAACAGCGAUGGCGAAGGCGGCCAACGGUAGCGUAACUGACGCUGAGGCGCGAAGGCGUGGGUAGCGAACAGGAUUAGAUACCCGGGUAGUC